This 463-nucleotide ribosomal RNA is filed under the name uncultured bacterium. RNAcentral describes it as "partial 16S ribosomal RNA". It matches the Rfam family "Bacterial small subunit ribosomal RNA", at positions 28 to 507 of the family's 1533-position model. The record is from RNAcentral.
GAUGAACGCUGACAGAAUGCUUAACACAUGCAAGUCUUUGGUGAAGCUGUGCUUGCACAGCCUAGCCAAGGCGGACGGGUGAGUAACGCGUAAGGAACUUGCCCUGCAGUCAGGGAUAACAGACGGAAACGACUGAUAAGACCUGGUAAAGUCAGGCGGACUCAUGUCCAGCCUGAUGAAAAGAGAUGCUGCAGGAGAGCCUUGCGUCCUAUUAGCUUGUUGGUGGGGUAACGGCCCACCAAGGCAAUGAUAGGUAGCCGGCCUGAGAGGGUGGACGGCCACAAGGGGACUGAGAUACGGCCCUUACUCCUACGGGAGGAAGCAGUGGGGAAUAUUGGACAAUGGGGGCAACCCUGAUCCAGCAAUUCUGUGUGCACGAUGAAGGUUUUCGGAUUGUAAAGUGCUUUCAGCAGGGAAGAAAAAAAUGACGGUACCUGCAGAAGAAGCGACGGCUAAAUACGUG